RNAcentral lists this ribosomal RNA (984 nucleotides) under uncultured Planctomycetota bacterium. RNAcentral's name for it is "bacterial SSU rRNA". It matches the Rfam family "Bacterial small subunit ribosomal RNA", at positions 521 to 1482 of the family's 1533-position model. Lineage: Bacteria; Pseudomonadati; Planctomycetota. The record is from RNAcentral.
UAAUACGGGGGGAGCAAGCGUUGUUCGGAUUUACUGGGCGUAAAGGGCGCGUAGGCGGCCACCGCAAGUCGACUGUGAAAUCUCCGGGCUUAACCCGGAGCGGCCAAGUGAUACUGUCGUGCUAGAGUGCGGAAGGGGCAACUGGAAUUCUCGGUGUAGCGGUGAAAUGCGUAGAUAUCGAGAGGAACACCUGCGGCGAAGGCGGGUUGCUGGGCCGACACUGACGCUGAGGCGCGAAAGCCAGGGGAGCGAACGGGAUUAGAUACCCCGGUAGUCCUAGCCCUAAACGAUGGGUACUAGAUUGUAGACUUACAUGGGUUUACAGUCGAAGCAAAAGUGAUAAGUACCCCGCCUGGGGAGUAUGGUCGCAAGGCUGAAACUCAAAGGAAUUGACGGGGGCUCACACAAGCGGUGGAGCAUGUGGCUUAAUUCGAGGCUACGCGAAGAACCUUAUCCUAGGCUUGACAUGUGCGAAAGCGUCAGGAAAUAAGCUGCGGAAACGCAGUCCCAACGGUAUCCAGUCCGGAACCUGAUACAGGUGCUGCAUGGCUGUCGUCAGCUCGUGUCGUGAGAUGUCGGGUUAAGUCCCAUAACGAGCGAAACCCUUGCCUCCAGUUGCCAGCGGGUCAUGCCGGGGACUCUGGAGGGACUGCCGGUGUUAAACCGGAGGAAGGUGGGGAUGACGUCAAGUCCUCAUGGCCUUUAUGCCUAGGGCUGCACACGUGCUACAAUGGCGUGAACAAAGGGACGCAAACGCGCGAGCGGGAGCCAAUCGGAAAAACCCGGUCUAAGUUCGGAUUGCAGUCUGUAACUCGACUGCAUGAAGUUGGAAUCGCUAGUAAUCGUGGAUCAGCUACGCCACGGUGAAUCCGUUCCCGGGCCUUGUACACACCGCCCGUCACGCCAUGGAAGUUGGAAGCGCCCGAAGUCCGUGAGCCAACCGCAAGGAGGCAGCGGCCGAAGGCGAGUUCGAUGACUGGGGCG